RNAcentral lists this ribosomal RNA (465 nucleotides) under uncultured bacterium. Its description in RNAcentral is "bacterial SSU rRNA". It matches the Rfam family "Bacterial small subunit ribosomal RNA", at positions 29 to 510 of the family's 1533-position model. The record is from RNAcentral.
AUUGAACGCUGGCGGCGUGCCUAACACAUGCAAGUCGAGCGGUAACAGGUGUAGCAAUACAUGCUGACGAGCGGCGGACGGGUGAGUAACGCUUGGGAAUCUGCCUAUUAGUGGGGGGACAACCCGGGGAAACUCGGGCUAAUACCGCAUACGCUCUACGGAGGAAAGCCGGGGACCGCAAGGCCUGGCGCUAAUAGAUGAGCCCAAGUCGGAUUAGCUAGUUGGUAGGGUAAUGGCCUCCCAAGGCGACGAUCCGUAACUGGUCUGAGAGGACGACCAGUCACACCGGAACUGAGACACGGUCCGGACUCCUACGGGAGGCAGCAGUGGGGAAUAUUGGACAAUGGGCGAAAGCCUGAUCCAGCGACGCCGCGUGGGUGAAGAAGGCCUGCGGGUUGUAAAGCCCUUUCACCCACGACGAUGAUGACGGUAGUGGGAGAAGAAGCCCCGGCUAACUUCGUGCCA